GACAUGAGCUUUAUCUCAAUGGAGGUGGAU
RNAcentral lists this non-coding RNA (30 nucleotides) under Mus musculus (house mouse). Lineage: Eukaryota; Metazoa; Chordata; Mammalia; Rodentia; Muridae. The record is from RNAcentral.